UACGGAGGGUGCGAGCGUUGUCCGGAAUCACUGGGCGUAAAGGGUGCGCAGGCGGUGGCCCGCGUGGGCGGUGAAAGCUCCUGGCUCAACUGGGAGAGGGCCGUCCAGACGGGGUCACUUGAGGGGCGGAGAGGGGCGUGGAAUUCCGGGUGGAGCGGUGAAAUGCGUAGAGAUCCGGAGGAACACCGACGGCGAAGGCAGCGCCCUGGCCGCCAUCUGACGCUCAGGCACGAAAGCUGGGGGAGCGAACAGG
RNAcentral lists this ribosomal RNA (253 nucleotides) under uncultured bacterium. RNAcentral describes it as "partial 16S ribosomal RNA". It matches the Rfam family "Bacterial small subunit ribosomal RNA", at positions 524 to 776 of the family's 1533-position model. The record is from RNAcentral.